Molecule: ribosomal RNA, 506 nt
Filed under: uncultured bacterium
Lineage: Bacteria
Description: partial 16S ribosomal RNA
Rfam family: Bacterial small subunit ribosomal RNA
Source: RNAcentral
AGUGAACGCUGGCGGUAGGCCUAACACAUGCAAGUCGAACGGCAGCACAGGAGAGCUUGCUCUCUGGGUGGCGAGUGGCGGACGGGUGAGGAAUACAUCGGAAUCUACUCUGUCGUGGGGGAUAACGUAGGGAAACUUACGCUAAUACCGCAUACGACCUACGGGUGAAAGCAGGGGACCUUCGGGCCUUGCGCGAUUGAAUGAGCCGAUGUCGGAUUAGCUAGUUGGCGGGGUAAAGGCCCACCAAGGCGACGAUCCGUAGCUGGUCUGAGAGGAGGAUCAGCCACACUGGAACUGCGACACGGUCCAGACUCAUACGGGAGGCAGCAGUGGGGAAUAUUGGACAAUGGGCGCGAGCCUGAUCCAGCCAUACCGCGUGGGUGAAGAAGGCCUUCGGGUUGUAAAGCCCUUUUGUUGGGAAAGAAAUCCAGCUGGCUAAUACCCGGUUGGGAUGACGGUACCCAAAGAAUAAGCACCGGCUAACUUCGUGCCAGCAGCCGCCGUAA